CUCCAAAAGAGCACCUACUCCUCGUGCGUUUACCCGGCCGCCCGCAUCCGCAAGUGUGAAGCGCGAAUCCAUGUCCGAAGCUGUGAAGAAUAUCAGCAAAGAGUAGCAUAUUAUGUGUUGUAGUUGUAGGCAAUAGUAGGCAUAUCUGGGUUGUAAUAUACUGUAACGAUUGUAAUAGAUUAAUGCAGUAUUGGUUUGGACCAA
Triticum aestivum (bread wheat) is the source of this 204-nucleotide long non-coding RNA. RefSeq lists it as uncharacterized. Lineage: Eukaryota; Viridiplantae; Streptophyta; Magnoliopsida; Poales; Poaceae. The record is from RefSeq and is a predicted model, not a curated record. The transcript is spliced from 2 exons.